This is a non-coding RNA of Hydra vulgaris (swiftwater hydra), 318 nucleotides long. NCBI's taxonomy places the organism in Eukaryota, Metazoa, Cnidaria, Hydrozoa, Anthoathecata, Hydridae. The record is from RefSeq and is a predicted model, not a curated record.
CGUUUGUAAGAGGAAAGUUAUUAUACGCAUGCGCAGUGAAAUUACAUUUUUUGAAGGUUUUUUAAAAUGGCUACGGUAACAGGAUUUUAGAAACUAAUCAUUGACAACGAUAUUCCAACCAUAUUCGCGUUUCAACAAAGAAACUUGCCUGUUGUAAAGAAGGGAAAAGUAAACUAAAGCAGAAAGACUUUUUCUUGGAACUCGAUAUAAAUAUUUUUUUGUGUUUCGUGUUUAAAUUUUUUUUUUUAAUGUUUUCAGCUUGAGAUUGUUAAAAUCAAUAUGAGUAUAUUUAAAAUAUUUUUUACUUAAAGAUUGAAA